Molecule: ribosomal RNA, 1312 nt
Filed under: Klebsiella pneumoniae
Lineage: Bacteria; Pseudomonadati; Pseudomonadota; Gammaproteobacteria; Enterobacterales; Enterobacteriaceae
Description: partial 23S ribosomal RNA
Rfam family: Bacterial large subunit ribosomal RNA
Source: RNAcentral
UGUGAACUCGAAGAGUAGGGCGGGACACGUGGUAUCCUGUCUGAAUAUGGGGGGACCAUCCUCCAAGGCUAAAUACUCCUGACUGACCGAUAGUGAACCAGUACCGUGAGGGAAAGGCGAAAAGAACCCCGGCGAGGGGAGUGAAAAAGAACCUGAAACCGUGUACGUACAAGCAGUGGGAGCACCUUCGGGUGUGACUGCGUACCUUUUGUAUAAUGGGUCAGCGACUUAUAUUCUGUAGCAAGGUUAACCGUAUAGGGGAGCCGCAGGGAAACCGAGUCUUAACUGGGCGUUAAGUUGCAGGGUAUAGACCCGAAACCCGGUGAUCUAGCCAUGGGCAGGUUGAAGGUUGGGUAACACUAACUGGAGGACCGAACCGACUAAUGUUGAAAAAUUAGCGGAUGACUUGUGGCUGGGGGUGAAAGGCCAAUCAAACCGGGAGAUAGCUGGUUCUCCCCGAAAGCUAUUUAGGUAGCGCCUCGUGAAUUCAUCUUCGGGGGUAGAGCACUGUUUCGGCUAGGGGGUCAUCCCGACUUACCAACCCGAUGCAAACUACGAAUACCGAAGAAUGUUAUCACGGGAGACACACGGCGGGUGCUAACGUCCGUCGUGAAGAGGGAAACAACCCAGACCGCCAGCUAAGGUCCCAAAGUCAUGGUUAAGUGGGAAACGAUGUGGGAAGGCACAGACAGCCAGGAUGUUGGCUUAGAAGCAGCCAUCAUUUAAAGAAAGCGUAAUAGCUCACUGGUCGAGUCGGCCUGCGCGGAAGAUGUAACGGGGCUAAACCAUGCACCGAAGCUGCGGCAGCGACACUAUGUGUUGUUGGGUAGGGGAGCGUUCUGUAAGCCUGCGAAGGUGUGCUGUGAGGCAUGCUGGAGGUAUCAGAAGUGCGAAUGCUGACAUAAGUAACGAUAAAGCGGGUGAAAAGCCCGCUCGCCGGAAGACCAAGGGUUCCUGUCCAACGUUAAUCGGGGCAGGGUGAGUCGACCCCUAAGGCGAGGCCGAAAGGCGUAGUCGAUGGGAAACAGGUUAAUAUUCCUGUACUUGGUGUUACUGCGAAGGGGGGACGGAGAAGGCUAUGUUAGCCGGGCGACGGUUGUCCCGGUUUAAGCAUGUAGGCUGGUUGUCCAGGCAAAUCCGGAUAAUCAAGGCUGAGGUGUGAUGACGAGGCACUACGGUGCUGAAGUAACAAAUGCCCUGCUUCCAGGAAAAGCCUCUAAGCAUCAGGUAACAUCAAAUCGUACCCCAAACCGACACAGGUGGUCAGGUAGAGAAUACCAAGGCGCUUGAGAGAACUCGGGUGAAGGAACUA